RNAcentral lists this unclassified non-coding RNA (249 nucleotides) under uncultured fungus. RNAcentral's name for it is "partial contains 5.8S ribosomal RNA, internal transcribed spacer 2, and large subunit ribosomal RNA". Lineage: Eukaryota; Fungi. The record is from RNAcentral.
AACGCACAUUGCGCCCCUUGGUAUUCCGGGGGGCAUGCCUGUUCGAGCGUCAUUUCACCACUCAAGCCUCGCUUGGUAUUGGGCGAUGCGGUCCGCCGCAUGCCUCAAAUCGACCGGCUGGGUCGAUCGUUCCCUCAGCGUUGUGAUUUAUCUAAUUCGCUAAAGGGUUGUCGGUCGGUCACGCCGUUAAACAAGACAUCAUUUUUAAAGGUUGACCUCGGAUCAGGUAGGGAUACCCGCUGAACUUAA